GAAGUCUCCGCGUCAGCUCGCGGCAUCCCUGUGUGCUAGAUGUUGUGGAACAGUUGAAGAACACUUCUGGUAGUGGGUGAGAAAAAGUGUGGAAUUUGUGGCCGCUUCAGAUUGUCCACAGCUGCUGUGAUUUGCCUCGUGCUCCGGCAUCGGUGUGAUUUUACCAGCUGCGGAGACUUUGUGGAUGGCCUGACAUUUGGACUUCUGGGGACUUUUCAGAAUGCUGGGGCCCCAAGAGGGGUGGGUGUUGUUUGGUUGUUGCUGGUUGUUCAGUGGGGCUGUGGGUGGUUCGUUGGUUGGUGGUUGCUGGUUGUUCAGUGGGGCUGUGGGUGGUUCGUUGGUUGGUGGUUGCUGAUUGCUGUUGGCUGCAGUUUGUUAAGUGGUCGCAUGCAAAGAAGAAACAGCGAGAACAGCAAGGAUCAAACUUGCCCCCAAGAAACUUGAUGCCCCUGAUCAGAAGAAAGUAGUCAAUCAAUAACAUCCACUCUUUCACACACACACCCCAACACACCUUAUUCAGGGAUCUCUCCUCUCCUUUUUUCUCUCUUAUCUAGUAUUAGGGGGUUGAAAAGAUGGAGAAGGGUAGAGGAAAGAACCAACAAUGUAAGGGUUGGGGAUUUAGCUCAGUGGUAGAGCGCUUGCCUAGCAAGUGCAAGGCCCUGGGUUUGGUCCCCAGCUCCGAAAAGAAAAAAAAAAAAAAAAAAAAAAAAGAACCAACAAUGUAGCAAAAGACGGCUACAGUUGCCCAUAGGGAAAGGCCCCACAAUUCAGCCAUGAAGUCAGCUGAGACUGUGGCACAUGAGUUCACUACAGUCCAGUGGAGCUCGACGUUACAGCAGUGAACAACCGGAAAGUGAAGUUAGAGAAAUGGCAUCCCUUAUUUAUCAUAGAAGAAUCCCAUGGGAGUCUAUGUCUAACUUGAAUAAUGUGUGCAGAAGCUCUGCUGAAAGCUUCACAUCUCUGGGAAGGAAACCUGGAGUCCUGGGGAAAUCGUCCCACACUGACUGCUUCAAGAUGUCAACUGCCCAGAAACUGAGUUAUAUAUUCAGUGCAGUCCCAAACAAAACCAGAGUUACCUUUUUAAAAGUCGAAAAACUGAUUCUAAAAGGCACUGAAACGCAAACACGAAAACUGGUCGGCUCCUGACGUUAAAGCAGAACCGAGUAAGAGCAGCACCUGUGGUCUUCAUGCGGGCACUUCAGGGGCCCCAGGAUUCUGCUUUUGAGGGAGGGACUUUUAGAUGUAACCAUUCCUUCCAGAAUGCCACCCAAUGGCAGCACCUAAAGCACCAAUAUUCACCACCCUAAUACGAGGAAGAAUAUGACGGGAUAUUUUGAAAGAGAAGUGGUCCCUGGCAUUGCAGAUCCGCAGUUCUGCCAUCAAUGCAGGCUCUAAGCUCUCCUAAUCCAACUGAUCCAUUAGCAGAUGGUGCAGCCAUGGAAGAGCCACAAAGCCCAAGCCGUGAAACAGUGAGAGCAUGGACACGAAUGACAUUUAAGUCGAUCAGAGAGAUCAUCAAGUGUGCAUCACUCCUGUUCUGCCAACAGUUCUUACUUUUGUUGUUUACAUUCAGUGAACACAGGCUUAGAUUCAUUCCAGAUUAAAAGCCCAGGCCCUGGCGUCUUUAGCAAACCUGCCUUGUCCUGGUUCACCACUGCAGAGCAUGAGCAGAGGCUGGAAACCUCAUCCCGGUUCUUCUGAGAUGUUGGAAAGCAGUGACUCUGCUUUGACUCUCCCCAUUGUAGUUUAAGUACAAGGCACCAAGAAGGAAGCAGGUUAGCUGCCAAGGGUUUGAGUGGUUUUACCUUUUCUUGGGAGGGGGUAGUUUUAUUUCAUUGGUUCCUUUCUCCCCCCCACCCCCCGCCCUCCUAUGAUGAGACCUAACUGCAGUGAUUAAACACAGCUAGCCGGCUUGUUUGGAAUAUGUUCUCUGCCAAGUCUAGAUAGACAAGCCUAAUUAGCAGAAUCAAAGUGGGAACAUUAAACAUUACAGCCUUCACUAAUAACACUGUGGCUUUGCUGUCAAGUGCAGAUUCACUGCCCCCACCCUACCCCAAGAAGAAGGAGGAGGAAGAAGAUGAAGAGGAGGAAGAGAAAGGAAGCUAGCUUGUGACCAUUUUGUAUGGCUUGCCUGGAAACUUCUGUAAAUCUUAUGUUUUAAUAAAAAAAUUUUUUUGUUAUCCAAAAACGAAAAGAAAAAAUGGUCAAGUUCAUUUUGAGAAAGACUGGAUUCCAGGACAGCCAGGGUUACACAGAGCUAUCCCGUUUAAAACCAAAACCCAAUAAAACAAAACCAAAGAGAACUCCAUGAGAAAGACUGGAACUGGAAGACUCACACUGACUCCCAUCAAUCAUGAAGCUACGCCUUUGGAACAGCUCUGAUCACACAGUAUCAGGCAGAAUGACCCACAGGAGCAUCUGGGGACGCAGAGGCCAGGAAAAGAUGAACACACGGAUUUGUCAUACAAGUGUGACAGAAUUCAGUACUGAAAGGGCAGUGAACUGGAUGUCCGUAUGACCUCACACUGAUGCAAAGUUAGCCGAAACGGACCAGUCGUCGAUGAGAAACUUCAAAGGCAGCAGGGACAAAUGGACAAACAAAACCCAGAUCAGCUGCCAAGCCCCAUGUCCAGCAACUCACACCCAUCUGUAACCACAACUCCACAGGACCCGAGGACUGGCAGUGUGGCACCUGCUCGUGAUCGAUCAUAUGCAUGGAGACAGACACAUAUACAUAACUUCAAUUUGUAAAGCUUUCUGCAAAGCAUAGCCCUACUCUAUAACCCAGGAAUAGAUAUUUAUGGAUCUAAAUGCACUGUUAUAUUACAUAGAAAACAGUA
RNAcentral lists this small RNA (2840 nucleotides) under Rattus norvegicus (Norway rat). RNAcentral describes it as "uncharacterized LOC103691053". The stretch from base 613 to 681 matches the Rfam family "tRNA". Lineage: Eukaryota; Metazoa; Chordata; Mammalia; Rodentia; Muridae. The record is from RNAcentral.